This 421-nucleotide ribosomal RNA is filed under the name Afipia sp. oral taxon 636. RNAcentral's name for it is "bacterial SSU rRNA". It matches the Rfam family "Bacterial small subunit ribosomal RNA", at positions 29 to 495 of the family's 1533-position model. The record is from RNAcentral. Lineage: Bacteria; Pseudomonadati; Pseudomonadota; Alphaproteobacteria; Hyphomicrobiales; Nitrobacteraceae.
AGCGAACGCUGGCGGCAGGCUUAACACAUGCAAGUCGAACGGGCACUUCGGUGCUAGUGGCAGACGUGUGAGUAACACGUGGGAACGUACCUUUCGGUUCGGAAUAAUUCAGGGAAACUUGGACUAAUACCGGAUACGCCCUUCGGGGGAAAGAUUUAUCGCCGAUAGAUCGGCCCGCGUCUGAUUAGCUAGUUGGUGAGGUAAUGGCUCACCAAGGCGACGAUCAGUAGCUGGUCUGAGAGGAUGAUCAGCCACAUUGGGACUGAGACACGGCCCAAACUCCUACGGGAGGCAGCAGUGGGGAAUAUUGGACAAUGGGCGCAAGCCUGAUCCAGCCAUGCCGCGUGAGUGAUGAAGGCCUUAGGGUUGUAAAGCUCUUUUGUCCGGGAAGAUAAUGACUGUACCGGAAGAAUAAGCCCCG